AGUAAAAUCUCCAGUGUUGAAAUCCUGGUGUUAAGGACUUUUAGAGUAAAGUGUUAAUUUUCUGGUGUUGAAUUUCAAGGGAUUAACACUGCUAGUGUAAACCACACUCUCUGGCUGGUGAAAAUAUGUGGAGUUAUACACCAGAGAUGCUUUGAGAACACCGAGAGUGUUACUAGUCACAUCCGGGACAUUUACGCGCUGGGCGGGACGAAACAAGUUGAAACUUUCUUCACAGGCGCCAUUUUCUUUGACUCGAGUCGCAAGACAUGCGAGGAGGAAACACGCAUUUAUUAUGCGUUAAAUCGCAUUUAUAUAUUCAUUUUAUAACACCAUAUUGUUUUAUAACAAUAUGUAUGUGCUGUGGACGAGCAAACCGCUCUCAGAAGGGGUAUUUUCUAUGACGCGCGAUGCGGAGCAGACCAGGAUGGGUUUGCUUUUUAACAGGGAAACAACGAAAACGACAUCAUCUUUGAAACACGGAGCUGACGAGGAGGAGGCUUGUAGCUAACGUUAACAGGGAAACACCUAAAUCUAGGUCCUGCAUCUUCUUUGACUCGUGACCUGCUCGUGACGCAUUUCAAAAAGCAGUGCAAAGUGCAGACACGGAGUUUGCUUUUAACAAUAAAAACACCGAUUAAACCUAACGUUAACGUAUAAAACAGAAGAACAACUCCACAAACUGCGGACCAACAAUGCACGUGGAAUUUGCACUUUAUUUCCUUAUUUGGAGGACCAAUCUUUUUAGAAUGGGAGCAUUUCUAUGAUGCACUAUGAUUUCUAUGAAGUGACUAAGGGUACCAGGCUUGGUGUUUAAAGACUGUACAGACUAGAACCUGGUGAUGGAAAGAGAACAGAUAAGUAAACAUAUGAGAGAAUCAUGGGCACAAACAAAAAAUAAUCAUAGCUUGGUUGUUAUUUGGUAUAGCUAGAUUUUCUUUGUUUUAUAACACUCAUUUUGAAUUUGUCCAGUCAAAUUCAUUUACAAAAGUAAAUUUAGUAUAUAUAUAUAUAUAUAUAUAUAUAUAUAUAUAUAUAUAUAUAUA
Non-coding RNA from Pimephales promelas (fathead minnow), 1043 nucleotides. The record is from RefSeq and is a predicted model, not a curated record. NCBI's taxonomy places the organism in Eukaryota, Metazoa, Chordata, Actinopteri, Cypriniformes, Leuciscidae.